UUUUUUUUUUUUUUUUUAAUGACUGCAGUAUUCAUUUUAUUUUUAUAUUAUUUAUUUAUUCUUCCUUAGUUUCUUGAGAUUAUCAUCCGCUGAGGGUGGAAGGGGAGUGAGCAGACACACUCAGGAGGUGUCUUGAGAUUAUCAUCCGCUGAGGGUGGAAGGGGAUAGAGCAGGCACUCGGCAGGUGUCUUGAGAUUAUCAUCCGCUGAGGGUGGAAGGGGAUAGAGCAGGCACUCGGCAGGUGUCUUGAGAUUAUCAUCCGCUGAGGGUAGAGCUGAGGGUGGAAGGGGAGUGAGCAGACACUCGGGAGGUGUCUUGAGGCUCAGGGAGUUAUCAAUUAUAGAAUGUUGUUGAGUUGGAGGAGGUGGCUGGUGGCCCAUCCUGUUUUUUAAAGUUUCAGCUGUGAGGUAGGGCCAGUAGGGCAAUCCUG
Molecule: long non-coding RNA, 430 nt
Filed under: Homo sapiens (human)
Lineage: Eukaryota; Metazoa; Chordata; Mammalia; Primates; Hominidae
Description: HSALNT0384802
Source: RNAcentral